GUGCUCACUUCAGCAGCACAUGUACGAAAAUUGGAACGAUACAGAGAAGAUUAGCAUGGCCCCUCACAAGGACACGCAAAUUCAUGAAGCCUUCCAUAUUGAA
This is a small nuclear RNA of Zalophus californianus (California sea lion), 103 nucleotides long. NCBI's taxonomy places the organism in Eukaryota, Metazoa, Chordata, Mammalia, Carnivora, Otariidae. The record is from Ensembl.